This 827-nucleotide long non-coding RNA is filed under the name Arachis ipaensis. Its description in RNAcentral is "long non-coding RNA (AIPA_LNC000303)". The record is from RNAcentral. Lineage: Eukaryota; Viridiplantae; Streptophyta; Magnoliopsida; Fabales; Fabaceae.
CCCCCACUACCACAAAUUAUGAUGUAGGCUCCACCACUUGGGUAGACCUUAGACUGGCACCCUUCCUUGGUGCAAUGGAAGUCACCAACCUAGGCCAUGGGCCUUUAUGAUCACCCAUUGACCCCAUCCAGGUAAGUAAUUUGGAAUCGUUGUAGUGCCUUCCCUUUUAUAAGCUUAUUGCAGGCGUCUUCCACACCCAUUCUCCGAUGUAGGACUUCAAUGCCAGGCAUCUUGCCUCAUCUCAUGCCUCGUGCUUUUGAUGUAGGACUUGAAUGUUGUUUCAUUCAAUGAAGAAAUUGGAAAGCUGGAUAUUUGUCUCUAGUUGAAAUGAUUCAACAGGUAAUAGAACAUGGAAAGUAAACUUUAUAUUCCAAAAAUUGGAGGCAUAUUCAGAGGAUGGAAGACAAAUGGACAAUGUUAUCUUUGCCAAAACCAUUUCAUUGAUAGCAAGAAGGAUAGAAAUUAUGAAUAGCUCCACAAAUAAGUCGAUCCAAGAAAGAAAGUUGAAGAGACCAUAUAGUUGAAGCGCGGAGUAAGAUGAUGAAUCAAGAGGAAGCAGCAAGAAGCGAAGUAGUUGAAGAAUGAAGAUUUGAAGAGAACCAUUUUCAAUUUAUUUUGGGUGUUCUUGUAUACCAGAAAAACUAAUCAGAAUUGUUGAAUUGCUCAUAUCAAAUGCUUCAUGGGAACUAUGUUCUGAUUAAAAUAACAAAUAAAUUGUACUAUUAUGAUUGUAGAAGCAAAUUCAUAUUUUAUUGAGGAGUUUUAUCGAACACCAAUCUUCAAAACCAUGUAAGAUUUUUUUGGUGUCUAAACCAUGUAAGAUUUGG